Molecule: ribosomal RNA, 686 nt
Filed under: uncultured Mycobacterium sp.
Lineage: Bacteria; Bacillati; Actinomycetota; Actinomycetes; Mycobacteriales; Mycobacteriaceae
Description: bacterial SSU rRNA
Rfam family: Bacterial small subunit ribosomal RNA
Source: RNAcentral
GCACUUCGGGAUAAGCCUGGGAAACUGGGUCUAAUACCGAAUAGGACCAUUUAGCGCAUGCUUUAUGGUGGAAAGCUUUUGCGGUGUGGGAUGGGCCCGCGGCCUAUCAGCUUGUUGGUGGGGUGACGGCCUACCAAGGCGACGACGGGUAGCCGGCCUGAGAGGGUGUCCGGCCACACUGGGACUGAGAUACGGCCCAGACUCCUACGGGAGGCAGCAGUGGGGAAUAUUGCACAAUGGGCGCAAGCCUGAUGCAGCGACGCCGCGUGGGGGAUGACGGCCUUCGGGUUGUAAACCUCUUUCAGCAGGGACGAAGCGCAAGUGACGGUACCUGCAGAAGAAGCACCGGCCAACUACGUGCCAGCAGCCGCGGUAAUACGUAGGGUGCGAGCGUUGUCCGGAAUUACUGGGCGUAAAGAGCUCGUAGGUGGUUUGUCGCGUUGUUCGUGAAAUCUCACGGCUUAACUGUGAGCGUGCGGGCGAUACGGGCAGACUGGAGUACUGCAGGGGAGACUGGAAUUCCUGGUGUAGCGGUGGAAUGCGCAGAUAUCAGGAGGAACACCGGUGGCGAAGGCGGGUCUCUGGGCAGUAACUGACGCUGAGGAGCGAAAGCGUGGGGAGCGAACAGGAUUAGAUACCCUGGUAGUCCACGCCGUAAACGGUGGGUACUAGGUGUGGGUUUCCUU